RNAcentral lists this small nuclear RNA (99 nucleotides) under Suricata suricatta (meerkat). Lineage: Eukaryota; Metazoa; Chordata; Mammalia; Carnivora; Herpestidae. The record is from RNAcentral.
AUAAGCACCAUAUAUACUGGAGUUGGAACAAUACAAAGAAGAAUAGCAUGGCCCCUCCACUAGGAUGACACACAGAUUUGUUAAACACUCCGUAUUUUU